GAAAAAUAAAUGCCCUUCAGUUUUUGUUUGUUUUCUUUUAUUUCAUUUUUGAGGAUCUCAAAAGCAGUGCUUCUGGAGUUUAAUAUGUAUACACAUCACCUGGGGAUCUUGUUAAACUGUGAAUUCUGAAUCUAAUCCUUUAGGUUUACGGCCUGAGAGUCUACCUUUCUCUAACAAGCAUGUAGGAACUGAACUUUGAGGAUCAAGGUCCAGGGUACUGACAGGGGCAACAAAAGGAAACUACACAUCAGCCCACCGCAUCCAGAUUNNNNNGGGUUUAACUUUAACUUGGGCAAACUCCGAGACAUGGUGAGGGACAGGGAGGCCUGGCAUGCUGCAGUCCAUGGGGUGGCAUAGUCAGACACGACUUAGCAACUAAACAACCUCACCUGCCCCUGCCAAACAGCCUGUGUGUUCUGCACAUGCUCACACACAUACACACACAGCACAAGUUACAUAAAUUCUCACAGAUGAUGGGAGUCUGGUCAUCUGGGCAUUCAUGCCUCAGGGGACUAAAGUCUAGAAACACCACCCAGGGCAAGACCAGAGGCAGUAUACACAGACAUGGCCAAUGGCGGCUCAGUACAACGGGCUCAUGUGAGGCAACUGGAGAGAAACUGGGGGCCUCCAGCCUAGGUGUCACUCUCACUCGUGCCACUCCAGGUAACUCGGCCUCUGUGUGGGGCCGUGUCCCUCCUGGCACAGGGCCCCUGUGGCAGUGUGCCGGUUGGUCACCUGCACCACUGACUCCCAUCCAGCAGGGCGCUGACACCAGCGCGCACGCGCAGCGUGUGCAGGACCGGAGGGACCCCCUUCACAUCGUCUUCACAUCACUGACCCCAGCCUCCCGUACUUCCAGGGGGCUUCCUCAAACACCCACAGUGCAGUUGUCCCCCAGGUUCAUGAGAUGGGGGAACCCCGGGCUGCUUCAGUUCCCUGUAGUCGCAGUGCUAGGGCUCAUAGCUGUGGCUUCCAGGCUCAGGUGCCCCGUGACACGUGGGGUCUUCCCAGAGUAG
This 1016-nucleotide long non-coding RNA is filed under the name Capra hircus (goat). RNAcentral describes it as "lncRNA (ENSCHIG00010009890.1)". The record is from RNAcentral. Lineage: Eukaryota; Metazoa; Chordata; Mammalia; Artiodactyla; Bovidae.